GCCGGGCCGGGCCGGGCCGGGCCGCGGAGCGGAGUCAGCCGCGUGUGGCCGAGGGCAGAGCGCGGCCCCGCAGCGCAGCUGGAGUUUGAUCUCUGCUCCCUGUAAUCUCCCGUAACUGAAAAUUCACUUUUUCCGCCUGCCGGCUGCUUUCUCUUUUGCCUUGCCAUUCGGCAGGCAGCUCCGCUCUGCGCUGGGUGCUUUGGCUGGUUCGCCUCACGUCAGGCUGUGUCCUGCUGUGACAGGAGUAAAGGCUUUUCUGACAAGGUUCUUAGCAGUAACGGAGAAUGAAAUCUGAGGUAUUUUUAUUGUAAUGGAACUUGUAAUUGCUCUCUGUGUCUCUGAGUCCUCAGUAGUAGCAGAGGAGAGCUGAAAAACUCUUCAAAAAGUCUUUCAUACACAUGUGAGUGCUAAAAUUUCUCAAUCUUCGAGCUUUCUAAAAAGAACUGCAUUUCUGUCGUGGGUGCUGUUAGCUCUCCUGUGAGUAGAAAAGCUGGAAUUAGUGAGAAAUGUUGACGAGGAACACAGCCCUGAAUUACCCAUUACAUGCAGCCUUAGCUCUGCUUUCCCAAGUCUGAACAGCCCUUUCAGACUCCUGUGCAACUCAAACUGCCUGGAUGAAAUCUGGUGUGCAGACAGAAAAAUCCAUUCCUGCUAAAACCCAAACCGCUUCUUUUGUACAGAAGAAAAAUGCCUUCGAGGAUGGGAACUGUGAGCCAGCUUUUUCUUGGAUUCCAGCACAUGAUUCCUUCCCAAGGGUGAGGAAGGUGCUGGAAGGUGACAAACUCGUGAGGUGGGAGAGGCAGAUUCCACAGAGGUGUGAGGUUCUCAAAGCUGCUCUGUGCACACUUGAUUUGGUCAAGGGUUCAUUUGUGUCUGAAAAUGACCCUCAACUUGUCCUCCUUGUGGGCAUCUUCUCCCUGACCCCUCUUUGCUCUGCUCUCCCUGAUAACUGUGCCAAAUAUUCCUUUGUUGGUGGCUCCUGGUGAGUGUUAAACUGAGGAAAGGCCCUGGUAUUUCUGCACAGAACCUUUCGCAUGGUCAGAAGGAUUUUGAUCAGUGCAGGGCUCUGUUUUGUGCCAGAAUGGCUUCACAGACAUGGCAAGCAGCUUCUUUGGGUUUGGUUUCAACACCACCGAAGAAUCCAAGUACCAGUGACACAGGAAGUGAUGAAAUGUUGGCUGUGGAAUUCACAUUCUCUGGAAAAAAUUCUUUGCUUAGGAUUUUUCUCCUGGGAAGCUGAGACAUUUCAGAGAAAAAAAGAAAACAAUUAUUAUUUCAUUUGCUUCUCUUCUGUUUUGCUUAUGUGAAAUGUGUUUGGAGAUUGUUUAUUUACCGGUAAUUGUUUUAUUAGUUUCUGGUGUAAGUGUUUUAAUGGUUAAUCAGUGCCAAGCUGUGUCGGGACUCUGGAGAGACUCAGGAGUUUUCAUUAUUAUCUUUUUAGCAUUCAGUAA
This is a long non-coding RNA of Passer domesticus (house sparrow), 1451 nucleotides long. RefSeq lists it as uncharacterized. NCBI's taxonomy places the organism in Eukaryota, Metazoa, Chordata, Aves, Passeriformes, Passeridae. The transcript is spliced from 4 exons. The record is from RefSeq and is a predicted model, not a curated record.